UGAGGAAGCAGAGGCACGUCGCCUGGCUGAGGAAGCACGCCGCCUGGCUGAGG
Molecule: small nucleolar RNA, 53 nt
Filed under: Trypanosoma cruzi
Lineage: Eukaryota; Euglenozoa; Kinetoplastea; Trypanosomatida; Trypanosomatidae
Description: C/D small nucleolar RNA (snoRNA), TB10C3C1
Source: RNAcentral